CCUACGGGAGGCAGCAGUGAGGAAUAUUGGACAAUGGUCGGAAGACUGAUCCAGCCAUGCCGCGUGCAGGAAGACGGCCUUAUGGGUUGUAAACUGCUUUUGCAGGGGAAGAAUAAGGACUACGCGUAGUUUGAUGACGGUACUCUGCGAAUAAGCAUCGGCUAACUCCGUGCCAGCAGCCGCGGUAAUACGGAGGAUGCGAGCGUUAUCCGGAAUCAUUGGGUUUAAAGGGUCCGUAGGCGGGCUAAUAAGUCAGAGGUGAAAGCGCUCAGCUCAACUGAGCAACUGCCUUUGAAACUGUUAGUCUUGAAUGGUUGUGAAGUAGUUGGAAUGUGUAGUGUAGCGGUGAAAUGCUUAGAUAUUACACAGAACACCGAUAGCGAAGGCAUAUUACUAACAAUUAAUUGACGCUGAUGGACGAAAGCGUGGGGAGCGAACAGGAUUAGAUACCCUGGUAGUCCACGCUGUAAACGAUGGAUACUAGCUGUUUGGUUGAAAGACUGAGUGGCUAAGCGAAAGUGAUAAGUAUCCCACCUGGGGAGUACGCACGCAAGUGUGAAACUCAAAGGAAUUGACGG
This 578-nucleotide ribosomal RNA is filed under the name uncultured bacterium. RNAcentral's name for it is "bacterial SSU rRNA". It matches the Rfam family "Bacterial small subunit ribosomal RNA", at positions 338 to 916 of the family's 1533-position model. The record is from RNAcentral.